Molecule: non-coding RNA, 321 nt
Organism: Biomphalaria pfeifferi
Lineage: Eukaryota; Metazoa; Mollusca; Gastropoda; Planorbidae
Source: the annotation of a GenBank genome assembly
UGUAGGUCAAAAUGUUUAAUCUGAAUAACAACAAUAGAUUGUAUCCAUAAAAUUUGAAUAUCAACAAAUGAAAGUUGUGCUGAAAAUGUACAUGGUAGUUUAUAGCACUAUUUACAGAGUUAAAAUAUGGGUAUUUCAAAACAAUAUUGAAGUAAGGUUUAUAUCUUUAAGGAAGACAUAUCAGUCUUUGUGUUCUAGAGUAUUAUUUCCAUAUCAGCCUUUGAGUUCUAUAAAAUUAUUUCCAUAUCAGCCUUUGUGUUCUAUAAAAUUAUUUCCACAUCAGCCUUUGUGUUCUAUAGUAUUAUUUCCAUAUCAGCCUUU